RNAcentral lists this ribosomal RNA (332 nucleotides) under Chalastonepsia orientalis. RNAcentral describes it as "partial 12S ribosomal RNA". Lineage: Eukaryota; Metazoa; Arthropoda; Insecta; Diptera; Mycetophilidae. The record is from RNAcentral.
GAUAUAUUCUUAAAACUUAAAAAAUUUGGCGGUAUUUUAAUCUAAUUAGAGGAACUUGUUUUAUAAUUGAUAAUCCUCAUUAAAUCUUACUUAAUUUUUAUAUUUGUAUAUCGUUGUCAUAAGAAUUUCUUAAAAAAGGAAUAAUUUUCUAAAAUUUUUAUUUUAAAUUAUGUCAGAUCAAGGUGCAGUUUAUAAUUAAAAAAAAAUGAGUUACAAUAAAGUUAUUUAAUUAAUGGAUUUAAAUUUUAAAAUUUUAUUGAAAGUGGAUUUAAUAGUAAUAUUAAAAAAAGAAUUAAUAUGAUUUUAGAUCUAAAAUAUGUACAAAUCGCCCG